AUGGCCACUCACCCAAAUUUCGAUGCUACUCCAUUUGGUGGGUCCGUGGAGAACACCGAAUUUAAGUUCAGUAGGUUGUACUGGCACCACAUUUAUUCGGGACCGAGCCCAAACCAAUUAGACAUUACAAGUGCAGAUGCAAAGACUGGGUGGGGCCAGACAACCGUUCACAACUGGACAAUAUAUGAUGGGGUUGGCCCCAACGAGAAGCUAGUGGCCCGCGCACAAGGGCUGCAUCUCUACACUGGUACCUGGCACAAUACCUUCAACAUUCUGUUCGAGAUUGAGGGGUUUAAGAAAAGCACGCUUCAGGUAAUGGGAGUAUCUGUUGAUGAAGAAGGUGAGUGGUCUAUUGUCGGUGGGACAUGUGAAUUCGCUAUGGCACGUGGUGUUGUAACCAAAAGACUGCAUCAGAAAAUAGAUGGUGGAGACAUAAUCGAGCUGACCAUUCAUGGUUUUUGCCGCAAGCAGAUCACCCUCACAAAGAGUAGCCCAUGGGGUGGCAAUGGGGGUUCCGUUGUUGAUUCAGACAACCCCUUGAAGAUAGAAAGUAUCACCAUCCUACAUGAAGGAGUAAUUGGUUCAAUUCAAUAUUCUUACAUCAACCAAAAUGGCAAGAGGUGCACCGCAGGUCCUUGGGGUAGUGAAAAUCCAAGCCGCGCAGAGAUCGUGCUGGGCCCUGGGGAGAUUAUUACGCAAGUGUCCGGAACAGUUACCGUACAUAGUAAUGUCCAAUGUGUCCAAACACUCAAGUUUGUCACCAACAAGCAGAAAACAUACGGACCUUAUGGAAAUAGUGCAAACAAAAAACUUGGUACCCCUUUCAGCAUCAUGGCGCCAAAUGGCAAAGCAAUUGUUGGCUUCUUUGGGCGUACAGAUAAAACGUUCCUGAAUGCACUUGGUGUUUACAUCGCCUAG
This 918-nucleotide ribosomal RNA is filed under the name Triticum aestivum (bread wheat). RNAcentral's name for it is "partial small subunit ribosomal RNA". Lineage: Eukaryota; Viridiplantae; Streptophyta; Magnoliopsida; Poales; Poaceae. The record is from RNAcentral.